CCGGGGAGGAACCUGGAGGAGCAGCGAGGAGCACGGGGUGGGACCGGACCACCGGAUACACAGAUUGGACCGUUUUUUCUCUCACACAAUUUCGUGUUGUUUUUUUUAGAGGUUUAAACGUUACAACGGGACGCAGCAAAGACGGUGCCGUCGGGGUGAACUUGCUGGGCUUCGCGUCUCGUCGAAACCUCUGGAACUGUCAGGAAAAAAAAUUGAUUGAGAGUUAAGGUGUGGCUGAGGCUUUUUCUGUGAGGCUUCUGCGCUGAAAAAUGUCACUAAACCGACUGUUUGUUCUCGAGUCGGGGCUAAGGCUCCUACAUCUACCGUGGCUUUGCCGAUUCCGUCCAGUCAUUUUCAUUAAGGAAGAUAUUACAUAACAAAUGUAUUGUCAUCUUGAUGCGCGCACCUUUUUUCCCCCUUCUUUUUUGCUCAAGUCUCCCGCAGUAGUCUAGAUUAAUUGAACUAUUGCGCAGUUGAGAAGUAGUAAUUUCCACUUGAUUGCCGGGUCGUUUUGGUUUCAUAAGUCUGUGAAAUGUAACGGACGUGGCAACUUUACAGUAGCCAGCCCCGUUGAAUGCCACAGGCAAACUGGGCGUGGGGGGAAACGGUCCGAACAGAGUGUAAUAAUCCUCAAAUCCUCAAAAUUGCGCAUAUUUGUCACGGUGUGUCCGCACUGACAUGCGCCUCUCUGGAGCCGCUGGAUUGACCCGAAUCAAAGUAAGUGCGACUGUCAAAUACAUUUUGCAAACUUUUUUUUUCUUUUAGCGGAGGUGACAUUUAAAAGGCUUGCAGGAGAAGACGUGCAGGAGGGUUGCAUUAAAGGCGUUUUGUGUCAGGAUUAUUUCGCACUCAAGGUUGGUGUGUCGGUCGGUCGAGGCCUGUGUUAAAUCUUUAUUUUGGCCGUGACACAUGAAUACUGGGAUGGAGCGGGUGUGUCUCCACCAGGGGAGAUGUUUGGUCGCCGAAUGAAUCUAGAUCCAGUCCAGGAAAGAAGGAUAUGAGUUGUUCUGUAUUACAGUAGUACUGCUUGACUUGUCAAACAAUAUCGAGGAGUCAUUCCUCACUCUUCUGAUGCCUUUAUAGCGCAAUAACUCGAUCAUAAUUGAGUGCACAGGCUGCCUGACCCUGUGUAGUCUAAUUAAGAUAAGCUUUAAGUCGAGAGGAAAGCAGAUAGAGUGAAUUCCUCAAGGCCCCACCCUUUGCAGCGCAACAUGGAUGUGGAGAGUUGCCCCCACCUCUCUUCUCUCUCCCUCCCUCCCUCCCUCCCUCCCUCCCUCCCUCCCUCUUUCUCUCCCUCCCUCCCUGUCUCCCCCUCCGCGUCAUUCAUUUCCCCUUUCAAGCUACUCUUAUGCUGUUUUUUCCCCUCAGUAUCUCCAGGUGCCCACAGUAGAUCUUCUUGCCUUCAAACCAACUUGAGAUCAUGGCAUCAGGAUGUUCUUCCAGGACUCUGCAGAGGGGCUUCGCAGAUGGAGGAAACCUGGAUCGGACAAAUCUGAAGUCACAGUGCGUCAUUGUCUCAUCUGUGGGAACAUCAGGACCAGGUUGUCUGCUUCUCGUAUCAUGACAUCACUGAGGUAGACGCUCCUCCGCCUCUUCCUGCCCUCAAACACUGUUCCUAUGCAUUCCUGGCUCCAGUUGCUCGGUAUUAAAUCCUGUUAGUUGCUCAGCAGGGCGUCAGUGGAAGGGCCUUUUCCUCUUCCUCUUUCCCACCUGCUGACUUCCCGCCAGUUGACAUCACCUCUUCCUUAAGCAAAUACAACAGUCUACUUGAAGGAGAUCAGUGCAUUCACAAGCUGUGCUCACCAGAUGAAAGAGGGGGGCAAAAUUUUAUACCAGUGUGGAUAAUGACUGUGGAAUAAUUACUCUCAGGUUUAUGUAGCAGGAUGCGCAUUAUAGGAUGUUGCUUCACUUGUUUAUGCCGUGUUUCAUUAAAGCCACGCCCUUACUGCUGUCUUCCUCCUUGACCCCAAGCCCUCCAACUUCGACCCCCAAAUCUGAACCAACACUUUGGGACUUUACUGGAUGUUUCCUAGAAGAGCAAUAGCUGAACCAGAAAAAAAAAAAAACUCUUAUGAGGAACACAUGAGCCUUUUCCGGGGCUUAUGUCCGUGUUUAAAUAACGCCUGUUCUCUUGCACUGAAAGUUGUUCCUCCAUUUCCAACUGUAACUGGUUUCAUUUUGAAGCAUUAAUUUAUAUUCAGAUAAACAGCAGCCAUAGGCACAAAUAGAGAUGAUACAAUAUAGAUGUGCAGGGCUCAAACACGCACUCGCUGCUCCCUCAUUUUCUGUCAGCGGCGUCAAGUGACAUUUCAUAAUUCACAUGUUGUGAGAAAACACACUGGUCAUGCUUCUAUAAAACACGGUGCACGACCCCCUCCCCCCAUCCCUAUGCAUGCAUGCAUUUGCUCACUCACAUGCCUCAUGCAUACACAUGAUCUCUUUCACAAUAAUCAGUUCCAGUCACUUCCACCUCGUCUUCUUUUUCCUGGUCACUUGCAGAAACCAGCAGCACGAAAUGAUGAACCUGCUCUGACAGAGUGCUAGUGUUCGCUCGCAGCUCCACCAGAAUUACACCUCAGCAAUAUCUGUGUGUGCGUGUGUGUGUGCGCGCAUGUUUAUGUCUUGAAAUUCAUUCCCUUUUUUCUCGCUAAUCCCAUUCAAAGCUGUAGGAGGGAAGCACUGGUUAAUAUAUUGAUCCACUGUUCACUUGAAAGCAAUUUGUCGUGACCGUGGGAGAAGGAUUAGGGGAGUCGGGUGUGCACAUAUGAUCAAGUGCAGGCCAGUUGAAACUGAGACAAUGGCACACUACGCUAUCAGUGUGUGCACUUUAUCCAACUACGUGUGCACAUGCAUUGUCGUGCACACUGGGGAAUGCAAAUAAUCCUAAGUACUUUUUGUUCCAAUUAGUUUUUACUGUCCUUCAAAUAGAGUUUCUAGCAUCUCCGAGCAAUUACAAACUUGGGUAUUUCAUUAUGUUUGAAUGCAAAUGAGACAGUAGACUGUAUGGAUUCCAGUCACAUUGAUACUUCUUGUGCAGCAUAUGUGACAUAUUGUGCAAGAAUGCAGACACAAAAGAAGCAUUCUCAUAUUGUGCAGUGGCUAUUUUCCAUUGAUAUUCAUUUACAAUAUAGCUUAUAUUCAAGUUCUCAGACAAUUCCAGGAAACAAAUGUUUUGUAUUAUUUUAGGAGGUUACAUAGAUAUUUAUUAAUAGGCAAUAUGUGUUGACUUUUACUUAUUUUCUGCCCUACAUGUGUUAUAUUCAAGAUAAGUUUGAAAUGGGACAAAACAGACUUGGAUGUGUGCAAAUGUUACGCUGGUACUGAACUAAUUAUUCUGGGGUGUGCCGUAAGGUUGCUGUAAUAAAGCUAACAUUAGCUGUUCUGCCAAGCCUGUGGCUUUCAAGGGAAAAUAUUUUAGAUUACUGCGAUACCAAAAAACGAUGAGGACUUGAUAGUGCUUGUGAAAUGGAUAUUGUUGUUGCAUUUGGAGGACAGAUAAGAGGCUUGCUAGAAUCUGUUGCAAAGCUGCUCUCAUCCUCAUAACACAGCAAGCGCAUGUGUAAGAUUAUCCUCCCUCCCAUAUAGAAAGCAACUAUACACUCGACUGUUUUAUUAGUCCGUCAUUUACAUCCAGCAUGCAGUCUGGCUUGAAUCUUUGUGCGGCGGUUUCUUGUAUCCUCCCGUUCGCUUUUUGCUGUCUCAUGUUGCAGGAGAGACAUUCAGCUUAAAUUACCUUCCAUUCUCAUGACACUGAAACUGCACAAAUGUCACAAUAUGGACUGGAGGCAUUCUUGAAACUGAUUUUGGAUAAGAAAUGGUAUUCUCGGAAUGAUUCAGGGAGCUUCCCAUUCUUUUGUGCUGGCCAAGUCAUUCCGUGCUCGUCCCUCUGAGAUAUGUUGUUAUUGGCAAGCUUUUGUGGAUUUAAUCCAUCCUCCAUCCUCUGUGUGCUUUUUCAGUCAUAUUUCAGCCAUUAAAUAUUAGUUACAUUUACCAGAAAAGACCAUUAAAGCCCAAACUAAACCCGCAGACACCCUCAAACAAGUUGGGUUGCAUUGGGAACAAAUGAGGGCGUUUCCCUUUGUCCAGAAGGAGCGGAUUCUGCAUGAUGUCAGAUCACUUUCUGUGUGAGGAUAUGCAGAUAGUUUUCUGUUUUUGCAAAGGGGAAACAGGUUGUAAUUUAUUUAUUUUUAAUCGUUGGAGUGACUUUACAAUUUAAACACUUCUGUUAAUGUGUUAUGUUGUAUUGAUGUUUGCCCUCCAAGUUAAAAAUCAUCUCUUCUGCCAUCUAACUCCCUUCUGGCCUGGUUUGUGUUUAACAUGGUUGUCUUUGCUUUUCCAGCUUAACAGGUAUUUAGUCCAUCUGUCUCCUCAGCAGUAACUGUGCUGCCUCAGGAAAAACUGAAAACACUCAAAUCAAAUAUACACAUAUAUGGGAUGUUUCUCUGUGCUAGUUAACCUUAGAGUAAUGACUCAAUUUGGGGACAGUAGGCCUCGUUGUCCAGGAUUUAAGUUAUCACUUGCACACUGUCAACUGUGCUCGAAUCACACUCGCACUGUGUGCUACUUGUGUAUUUGCGUGUUUGUUCGUGCACACUCCGAGGAGCCAUUUUCAGCCUGUUGCUUAGGCUGGCUGUAAUUGUCCUGGGAAUCGUCAGCUCUGUGCAAUAAAUCAGUCCUCUGGUA
Amphiprion ocellaris (clown anemonefish) is the source of this 4683-nucleotide long non-coding RNA. RefSeq lists it as uncharacterized. The record is from RefSeq and is a predicted model, not a curated record. Lineage: Eukaryota; Metazoa; Chordata; Actinopteri; Pomacentridae. The transcript is spliced from 2 exons.